CUAUUUCUUCCUUGUUAUUUUGUCGCAGGUCUUCAUUCAUUUUUACCUUUUCUAGAUAUUUCAUACAUGCGUUUUACUUUCCUUUAUGGUACUGGGGAUUGAAACCAGGGACACUAAACCACUGAGCCACAUCCCAAGUUCUUUAUUUUAUUUAAAAACAGGGUCCCACUGAGUUUUUUAGUGCCUCACUAUGUUGCUGAGGCUUGGUUUGAACACAUAAUUCUCCUGCAUCAUCCUCCCAAGCCACUGGCAUUACAAGUGUGUGUCAUUGCACUUGGCUCACCCACAAAAUUCUGAAACAGAUUUUUGUCAUGACUUCCCAGCCUGGCAUCAGACUCCUGAGCAUCAGUGAUAUCCCUAUUCUAGUCUCCUUAACACCUAGGACUAUAGAUGUGUGCCCUACAUCAUGCUUUUAUCCAUUUAGUUGAGUGGCUACUUUUUCAUAUCAAUAUCCUUUGUGUUCAGAUGAUGCAUGGAGAUUCUUUGCACACAUCAAUUUUAUACUUCUGUGAAAAGGUACAUAGAGGGCUUUGUCUUUUUUGAAGGAAUCUAGAAGCCUUCAGAAAUAUUAAGUGACAACAUGGGAGCAAAAAUUUUUGAAACUGUAGAUAGGGAGGAUAAAUGUGUCUUAUCAAGUUGCCAUGGCAAAAAAUGACAUGAAUUGAGUGGUUUGAAAAAAUACUAAUUUAUUUCUCACAAUUCUGGAAUCUGUAAAGUUUAAGGUCAAGGUUCUAGCAUAUUAGAUUACCAUAAGUGUUCCCUUCCUGGCUUGUAAAGAACCUGUCAUGUGAAGAUUGAUGAAGGUUUCAAGGAUCAAGGGUCUGUCAUGAAAGAAGAUGUGAGGCAUAGUGGGAAUAUUGGGCAUCCUUUAUUCAGAGGUGGGUGUAGACUUUAGCCAGCCCCCAGAUUCAAACCGAGCUCACAGCCAGUUCCAUUAUAGUCCUCAUUUUGCCCAUAUUAGCCCAUUUUUCCUGAGUCUUUUCCACAAACCUUUUAAUACAAAAUAUAAGUCAAGGGGCUGGGGUUGUAUCUCAGUGGCAGAGCACUUGCCUCGCAUGUGUGAGGCACUGAGUUUGAUCCUCAGAACCACAUAAAAAUAAACAAAUAAAAAGGUACAAAAAACGUAGGUCAAACAAAGGCAUACUGUGCUUACAAGUUAAUGCUUAUGACCUGGAGUACAUAAACUGGAUCAGAGGGUUUCAGGCCUUGACUAACCACAGCAUAGCCAUUU
This 1231-nucleotide long non-coding RNA is filed under the name Marmota monax (woodchuck). The record is from RNAcentral. Lineage: Eukaryota; Metazoa; Chordata; Mammalia; Rodentia; Sciuridae.